Molecule: long non-coding RNA, 6605 nt
Organism: Oreochromis niloticus (Nile tilapia)
Lineage: Eukaryota; Metazoa; Chordata; Actinopteri; Cichliformes; Cichlidae
Exons: 3
Source: RefSeq, a predicted model, not a curated record
AACACAUUCUUACUUUUUAAAAAAAGUACAGUUCUUUUUAGAUAUUUCUUUGGAUCAUACAAACAGGAUAAUUUUCUUUUUGUUUUUUAUUUCUCCAAUAAGGCUCUGUAGGGGAGAAUUUCUCUUUGCCUUUCUGCUUAGACCAUCCUUAGUAGUUGAGGAAAACCAUGUGGAAGCCCAUCAGUUCUUUCAGCACUUCUCAAUAUAAGCAUUGCAACAUUAUAAUAGUCAGGUUACUCACAUAUCUUUAAUUCUACUAUAUGACUGUGAUUAUACUUGUGAGUUGUGGUAUAUCACAUCAUUGCUUACACAUGCCCCUAAAAGUCCAUCGGUUGGCUUAGGACACACACACCACACUCUGUAUUCAUUCUCCUCCCAAUGUUUGAAGAAACACUAAAAUACAGAUGUCUUUAGACAGCUAUCUGACACGCCCUUGAAAAUAAUACGCUGGCUAUGUGCGAGGCCCAUUAGCUGAACAGGCAGCCCUCCUUAAUGUUGCUUCCAUUUUUCAUAACAUCUGCAUGAAAAAAAAUCAUACUUCCACAAAGUUUUCCAGCAGAGUCCUGAAGACUUAUAUAAAACAAUAACUCAUUUGUUGCCCCCACUGCUGUAGGCACAGAAAAGGACAGAGCUCCACUGGAAACAAUGGGAAAAUAAUGUGAGACACUUGAAUGAACAAAAGGAGAAUUGGACAGAAAGGUCAGUUGUAAAGUAGGACUGACAAAAUACUUUGAGAGCUUUGUUUACAAUGAUCUUAAUACCAAACUUUUGCUGCAAUGGAAAAAAAAUCUGUGGGAUACAAUGUCUUUUAUUAAGGUGAGAGCUCUUUACAUUGUUCACAACUGACACCUGAAACCAAAAUGAAUGGCACGACAGUACCUUGAAGUUGUGAAACAUUAAUUACCAACAUUUUCCAUUUUCUGUGGGGCAGCUACGAGUCACACUUCCAAACAAACAACAGUUUGCACACUCAGAGACCCAAACAUGUGAAGCCCAACAGGCAGAAUACACACAUCCAGUGUCACGGUGUGUAGUCAUGUCUCACCAUGGAUAAACCCUACCAUUACCCUGCAGCUUUGUCUCAGACCCUAGAUGAAUCUAAACAACAUUUAAGGGAGAAGAAAGCAGUUGUUUAGUGAUAACUGCUCAAAUCAUCCCCUAAGUUCAUCUAAACAGGGAUACAUACAACAGCCAUUAUAGCUAUCAUUGUCAUCAUCUUCAAACAUGCCACCCACAAACUUGCUCACACAAGCAAGCGACACAAGCUGAGGGUACUGUUCUGCAGAAGCUUCAGCCUACACAGUGCAGUGGAAUUGUUUGUUUUUCUAACAAGACAGGAAAUUCUGUUGGAAUAACGUUAAACAAAAAGCUGAUAAGUGCCCCAACAGAUCACUUGUGUGUAUGAUCUUUGUCCUCAUGUCACACAAAAAGCACUUCACCGGCUCCAGUUGUGCUCUGAUCAGCUUACGUUAGUGUUCAAGUGUCGCCCCCAUGGAACCCACUGGAUUGGGCCAAGUUGUAGUCUUAGUGUUAAAGGAAAAAUAAGUGACAGGAUGUGGGUUUCUUUUGAUAAGAUUCAUGCCUCUAUGUCACAAAUAAAGCUACUCCAAGGUACGGUACAGGUCGCUGCGACAAAGAUUAUACUGGUCACGGUCCACUGUACUAAACCUCUGAUGUCCUAUUUACAGUACGCUGCUGUUUAUAUUUUAGAUCAAUGUGGCCUGUGUCAGUGAGCCUGGAAGCGACUGUGCAACCUUUGAAGCCUCAUCCUGAACAGUGAAAGGAAAGGGAACCAAUCAGACUGCUUGGGUUCCUUCUGUGGGAUUUUACAGUAAGGUGACCAGCAGGUAUUGUUUCAACAUAGAAGGGCAUGAGGUAACGUUGCACAAUGGCAUGUGUGUAUGAAAAGCUUGAACUGCUCUGUUUUAGGGGGGUUUUGACAGGUGGGUCACUGUGGAUAAUUCAGGAACUGAACAAAAAGCAGAACGUGUACAAGGAAGUUUAAGCAGGAAUUAGCUUCCUGAUAACAGUGUUAACUGUACUUUAUUACUAUUUACAGGCAGAAGAGCUGAAGUGUGCACGUUCACACACAUGCAGCCCUGCAACACAAGUGUACUUCAUCUAGAAAGUAACUUUAGACUCAGGGACUGUUUAGGUGUCAGUUAAUCAUGCAUGAGCCUGUGGAACUUUUGAAGCAACACAAAAAGCCUAUGUUGUAAUAAAGGCAGUCCAAGUUAUCAUCAAUAGGAGAAUCCCUUCACAGGAGAUUAGAGGCCUGGAGAGGAGGGAUAAUGUGUUGCUAAAUGUAAAUGGCUGAUGCUGAUUUCCUACAUUUCCCACUGACUUUUGUAAUCUUAUUAAAGAAAUGGUAAAUGGACUGCUACUUAUACAGCACUUUUUUUUCUAUUCCAUUUGAACGCUCAAAGCGCUUUCUUGCUACAAUGCUCAUUCACUUAUUCACACUUUUUCUAUGCUUAUGAGCUUUUAACCUGACAUGCACAUAAUCAUACUCCAGAUGAUACAUCAGGGGCAACUCAGGGUUCAGUAUCUUGCCUGAGGAUAGUUUAACAUGUAAUCACAGGCUAGAGGAGCUAGGCAUUAUUAGAGUACUAUCCUGCUACCUACUACUACAUACUGCCCGAAAGCAGCAAUAUAAAGAAAAUGACUAAUGUAACGAUAAGUAAUAUUCAUUUAACUAUUUACAAACAGCAAAAAUAACAUGCUGAUUACAAUUUGGGAAGUUUUCCUAACGAAACUGGAUGCCUUUAAACAAUAAACGUCACUUGUGGCGAAUUUCUAUUUCAAAGCAACAAUGCUGAAACCUAACACCUGUAAUUCUGUGACCAUUAACAUUUGAUGACAGAUCGCCUGGCUGUUACACUUCUGCCAAAAAACAGAUCACAAAUGAAGGUAUUACAUCACUCAAUGAUAAGUCAUUUCAAACCAAAGAUUUUUUUUUUAGCAACUUAGGAACAAUUCCAUACCACCUUAAUGACAAAUAUCUCUUUAAUGAAUGUAAAUAUUGGAUUAGUCUAUAACUAGAAAAACAAUCAAGAAUCAGCCCAGAUUGACUGCUGAAUGCUCUGAGCACAAUGACUUAGUUACUAUGUCACUCUCAAUGUUAUUUAUGCAGCAUAUUUAAUUACAUUAAAAUGUAUUUUCCAUAACAGAUAAAAACAUAAAAAACAACUAUUACAAUGAACUCAGAUGUUUACUUCAUGUUUCACUAGCUGCAGUCAUCCCAUGCAAGAGAAAAAAGUGUGAUCUGCAACAAUAAUGUUGAUAAAAAAAAUCAAUGUGUUAAUCUUGCCCAGGGCCACAGAUGCCUAGAUAUAGCCCACACCUUUUCUGAUGAAAACACUCCACAAAUUCAUAUGAAUUCCUAUCUGAUAUGAUUUGCGUGGCUGAAACAACACCAUAAACAUUAUUCUACCUCCUGCUUGUAUUCCGAGGUGCUAGAACAACAACUUUCUGUUGUACAACAUGAAAUUACAGGUUAGUAAUGUAAAUUACGACUUCUUACAAUUCAUAGGAUUGCACUGUUGUAUUGUAAAAAUAGAUCUGAACUAUUUUCUUUUAUUUCUUCCUUUUAAAACACAUGCAAACACAGCUUCUAAGUAACACAAUUGGUAGUCUUGAGCGGUCCAGGAGACUAAGCACAGACCUCCAAGGCUGUCUGUUGAGCAGAGAAGUCUGAAUGAUGGAUGCAUUGAAAUUGCCCCUCUUUUCUUCAGAGUCUCGCCCACAAAGGGUCUGUUUCCCAUUCAGGACACAAGGUCAUUAGAUAAUACACACGAAGAUCUCAAGGCCACACAGUGGGGGCAGGAUCAUUCAGCACAACAAGCCUCCGCGAAAACUUCUCGAUGCCUUAACUCAGUAGUCUCUGCAGGAAGCAUAUGCACAUCCAGAAACAAAUAUACUGACAUGAAAGCUCACAUGCACAUUGAAAUUUCACAGACGGUCACACACGCACAAGGAUGGGCUCAAUAGUUUGUCAGUGGGAAUCAUGACAUCAUCAUGUUCCCCUCCAACCUCUCUAUUCAGUCACAGCAGAAUUAUUUAUCCUUUGAAAGUGGGUUAAAUGAAUGCUUAGGAAUGUCCUUUUUCUUUCUUUCUUUUCUAUUUUUCCUCUGAUGUAAUCACAGGCAUAUGCAUCCAUACAUGUUUGUAGAAUUGUUUUAGGCACCUGGUUGGCAGAGACCCAAUCAAGAUUUUGUUAUUCAGCGAAACUGUGGGGGAAAUGCUCUCAAAUGAGGAACUGCUGGUUCAGUGAAGUGUCAGCAUGUAGCAGUUACCAUGGGACAAAAAGUUAUUCUGAACAUGGAAACUCUGAGAGGUUUGCCAAAAUUAAGAAAGAGUGGAAACUGAGCAAGUUAUGCUCUGGAUGGGGAAAAGUGUUUCCACUCCAUUCGUGAAGCUGUCAGAUUUCAGCUUGUCAUGGUUAACUCACAGCGCUCUGAAACUCAUUUCCUGAGUGGCGUCGUUAGUUCCAAAUUGAAGCCAGGAAGAAUGUAGAAAGAAAGUGGGCGGGGGAGAGAGGUUUGAGGCAGAGGGAGAUGAAACAGGGAUGGACCAAGUCUGUCCUCUACUUCCACUUGGGCACAUGCUUGAGCUGGGGCCUUGGAUUUGUUUUCUUCAUCAAAGUGAGUGGAUGUAAAGCGAGAGAGGAGUAUAUUUGCAUGUACUUAAUUUUAACUUUUAUAUAGCCAGCAACAACAUGCUCAUAUCAGAGGAUUACAAAAUACACAAGCACACACACAAUGUGUAUGAAAUUAAAAAAAAAAAAAAAAAAAAAAAAAGAGGAAGGCGACUACACAAUAAGACUGGCACUUAUUGUGUAGACUGGCAGAUCACCAUAGUGACAGAUCAGCCAAACCCUAUGACAAAAACACGGAAUGAGUCAAGUGUCAGAUGCUCAGGUUACAUGAGCAUGAUCUCAGUAAAGAAUUCUUAGAACUUAAUAAAUAUAUUUCUUUGUUUGUUCAUUAUUCUGUUCUAGAUCUGACAUUAAAAACAACUGAUUAACUUAAAUUUUUCUGAACUGUGAAUUUAGUUUGAAUAUGGGUUCUUCAUCUAGCUACACCCCCAGGCCUGUAAGAUUUCUCCUAAAACUUUGUUAGUCAUCUUCGCUAUUGCUCUACAUUAAUAAGUCUCGUUGCUCAUAUGGAGUUACUCAUGCAUGCAGUGCUGCCUUUCAAAUUAAGAGGCCUCUCCCUGAAAGACAACCCAUGUCAGGGAUCAGCACAUCUGCAGAAACACGAUCCGGUAAAGCCUCACAACUCCUGGGGGAGAAUAGCAAAGUCAUGGAGAUCCAGGUGCUGCGCACCGAGCCACACCAGCGGCCUGGCGUGCGUAAUGAAGGGCAAUUAAAAGUGGCACAUGUGCACCAAACUGACAUUCAAACAAAGCCAAAGAGGAGUGAAGAUAAUAUAGAAAAGUUCCAGAAAACUUCCAGAACUUCCAGGGAACUGGGCAACCUAAACCUGCUGACCUUGACGGUAACCAUACCCAGUGGGAUCUGGUUCAGCAACACUGUCCGAGGAGUAUCAACUCAAUGACAGCCUUUAACUUCCUCUCUGGUUAUGUCAGACACAUCCUGCACCCAGUAACCUCCUGAAGCUAAACCUCAGGUGAUUGCAUAAGAAGUCUGACUAAAUUUUACUACCCAGAAAAAUUUUAUAAGAAUUUUCUUGGGGCUCACUAGAAGAUGAGAAGAGUUAGUGCAGAAUCUUCAUUCUGUUAUGACAAAUUUGAGCCUUCAACCUACUGACACAACACCGAUACGCUGUGGUUUGCGUCAAACCACAAAAAACAGGAAGUCAGACUCAAAAAGUUCACGUCUGUGUGUCUUUGUAUGACUGCAUGUUUGUUUUCAUGUAUACGGGCUAUAGACAUAAAUAGCUCUCUCUAUGAUAAUCAGUGUAAAUCAUUACAUUUUAAGGCAAAUAAUAAUGCUUGUAUAUGAGUUAGGAUAAACCAAGCAGUACUCAUGUGCAGGAAAUUUGUAUAUACGGAGGUGCGGACGUGUGAAUUAUUAUGUAGGUCAAUUCUCAUGAACCUUACAGAGUUUCAACCACAUCUACAAGUAAGUAGAAGGUUUGUAGGUUAAUCUGAUAGCAUGGCUAAGAUAGCAUAAUGAAGCACUCAAACAGCAAUGCAAAUUUCUGCACAGUGUCAUUCCAGUUUCCCUUUAUCAAAUAACCAUAUCAAGAUACAAUGUUUCUCAAAAGUUUCUAAAAAAUAAAAUAAAAACAAAUAUCUAAUAUAGCUCAAGUGUUCUUUGCAUCUCUUUUCUAAAGAGCUUAUCCAAUUAAAGGUUGUUGACGGUUGCUACAAAUAGGCUUUGGUAGACACGUAAAUACCUUCUUAUUAUAAACAUAAAUUAUUUAAUAUUAGUCAUGCUAUUAGCUAUAAACUGGCAUUUACAACAUUUCUAAUCAAUUUCAUCAAGACCUUUUUUGAACAUUUGAAAUCAGCCUUAAAAAAAGCAUCUUGCCAGUUGUGAGUUACUACUGGGAAUUUAGCAGGAUUUAGGACACGGACACUCGAUCCCUUCUCAAAACUUAAAGGUAACUCCAUCCUCGACUUUUCCCCACUUUGUCUGA